Molecule: non-coding RNA, 916 nt
Organism: Vicugna pacos (alpaca)
Lineage: Eukaryota; Metazoa; Chordata; Mammalia; Artiodactyla; Camelidae
Source: RefSeq, a predicted model, not a curated record
GACUGGGUUGAGGGUCGUGGGGUCCUAGCGCCUGAUCGUAAGCGGGGCGGAGAAGGUGGGCGGGGCUGCGCUGCGUUCUCUCCUGACGCGCGGUUUAGUUGGGGAAACGCGCUGUGGUUCCCCUUUUGGCUGGAAGAUCCGGAGCCUGAGGAGAGCCAGCCGCAGGAGUCCUGACAUUGCCUAGCCAAAGCUCGUCGCGUCUGCCUGAGCGGCCGCUCCUCUACCAAAGGCACUAAGAUUCCCCAGGAAACCCCCUGAGGGGCUAGCAGCCUCCUACUAGUAGGUUUCGGUCCCAAGAUGCUGAAGGUCAGAGCCUAGGAAGACUCGGAAACAAGAUUGGAUUUUAUUGUAAUUGCAGCUGAAAACUGUUGAGUAAGGCAUGACUGUUAGAGCAAGGAGGUGGAAACAAAGAUGUUUGCGCAGAUAACUAAAAACAAACCAAAUAACCAGCAACUGGAGGCGUGGCCAGAUACACUGGAAUAUCCAAACCACAGAAAACUAUGUAAGCACUGUAAUAGAAUGAAGUGGAGCUUCAACAUGAGAAAAAAGUGAAUUGCAUAUCCAGGAUCUCUAGUCCUUUGGCUUCCUUGAGAUUCAGUCAGUUGGUGGCACCAGGAAGCGAUCAAGAGGCAAGAAGAGAGAGAAGUCGAGUGUCUCCUCCUCUUUCUCUUCCUGCUUGAAGACAGAGGCUGCAUGCCGCUCCCCACCUCCAGCCCAGCCUCCCCCACCCUCUCUACUCCCCCCUCCUCCUCCACCAUUUCUGCUCUUCCUGAAUUCCAUAAGAUUAUUAUUUCCUCCCUUUGUCCCUUUGUCUCUAGGAAUACUAUUCUCUGGGUGCCUCAGCAUCCCUUGUUUACUUCCAUGACCUGGUCUACCCAUCUGUAAGUAUUAUUAAAGUCUCUUCAUUUGAACCAUC